Molecule: long non-coding RNA, 417 nt
Filed under: Struthio camelus australis
Lineage: Eukaryota; Metazoa; Chordata; Aves; Struthioniformes; Struthionidae
Description: lncRNA (ENSSCUG00000010900.1)
Source: RNAcentral
UGCUGGCGCGUCUGACCCGCCGCCUGUCGCUGCAGGGCGAGCCGGCGCUGAUGGAGGGAAUCUUGCUGGGUGAACCCGUAAGUUGGCCCUCUCCAUCUCUUCCCCUCGCCGUUCCUCUGCCUUCUGCUUUGCCAAGCAGGCCCUAACGCUGCUCUCCCUCCCUGGCAGGGCUCCAAGGGUGACCGGGGCUUGCCUGGCCCCAAGGGAGAGAAGGGGGAGCCUGGAAGAUUUGGGGAGCCUGGAGAUCCCGGGGAAGACGGAGCCAAAGGAUCGUCCGGAGCCAAGGGGGAAAAGGGCUCUCCUGGUGUCGGCGUGCGGGGACCUCCAGGACAGGACGGACCUCCUGGCUUGAAGGGUGACACUGGCUUGCCAGGCCCACCAGGACCCCCGGGCUUGGCAGGUGUCGCAGGGACCCCG